This 644-nucleotide ribosomal RNA is filed under the name Baltazaria eurasiaticogalactina. RNAcentral's name for it is "partial small subunit ribosomal RNA". It matches the Rfam family "Bacterial small subunit ribosomal RNA", at positions 391 to 899 of the family's 1533-position model. Lineage: Eukaryota; Fungi; Basidiomycota; Agaricomycetes; Agaricales. The record is from RNAcentral.
GCUAACUGAGAUCUAACUAUUAUUUCAGGGUAAUAGAUACAUUUAAUGUAUAAGCAAAAGAUAACGUAAGGGAUAAUAAUGAUACUACCUUACUAUAAGUGUUGUCAAAAAUUGGUGCCAGAAGACUCGGUAAGGCCGAAAACGCAAACGUUAAUCAUCAUAAACAGGCGUAAAGGGUUUGUAGGCGGCUUUAACAAAAAUCCCCGCGAAUUGGAGAAUCGGAGAAUCGGAGAAUCUAUAAUUCGUAUAAUCGGAGAAUCGGAGAAUCGGAGAAUCGGAAAAUGGGAUAAAUUUAAAAAUUAAAGCUAGAAUCAAGUAGAGGUAAAUAAUAUAAGUGUCACUAUAAAGGGCCAUAAGACCUAAGUAGUAAUAUACAUUUUCCAUUAUUAUAUAAAAUGCUUAAUCUAGGGGUUCAAUCUUUAGAAAUUUGGUUGAAUACUAAUUUGCGAAAGCUUUUUUACCAAUACGGAAUAUAUGACGCUGAGAAACUAAGGAGAGAMCAGGAAACAGGAUUUGAUACCCCUAUACCCUCUCUGGGAACGAUGAAUGGUAAUUAUUAUAGGAGGUUAAAUUAGACCAAAACAUUAGUAUUAAAGUUAACACAUUAACCAUUCCGCCUUGUGAGUACGGCCUUAAGGUUGAAA